Molecule: small nuclear RNA, 104 nt
Organism: Cercocebus atys (sooty mangabey)
Lineage: Eukaryota; Metazoa; Chordata; Mammalia; Primates; Cercopithecidae
Source: Ensembl
GUGCGCCCUUCGCCAGCACGUAUACAAAAAUCGUAAUGAUACAGAGGUUAGCGUGGCCCCUGCGUAAGGAUGACUCGCAAAUUUGUGAAGCGUUCUAUAAAUAU